This is a long non-coding RNA of Ficedula albicollis (Collared flycatcher), 2513 nucleotides long. The record is from Ensembl. NCBI's taxonomy places the organism in Eukaryota, Metazoa, Chordata, Aves, Passeriformes, Muscicapidae.
CCCCCCCCCCCCCCCCCCCGGCUGCCGCGCGGCCGGAGCCAGGUGCGAGCGGGAGCGGGAAUGGGAAUGGGGUUGGGAAUGGGAGCGGGAAUGGGAAUGGGAGCGGGAAUGGGCGCUGAAAGGGCGGCGGUGCCUCAAAGGGCCCGGCUAGAGGCGCUGAGGGUCUCGGUUGCCGGCCCUUGCGGUUUCCGUGGCCGAGCAAGCGGAGCGGUGUGCGGUCCCCCCCGUGGCCGAGUGCCGGGGAGCGGGAGGCCUUUUUAGCCGCCUUGCUUCCAAAGGAUGGAGCAAGUCAUGGGCGUCACAGUGCCUGGAAAAUGAUUUUUGCGUUAUUAGGGCGUUGAGUUCAUUAUCCUGGUAAGUAUGAGCUACUGUUAAUACAGCUGUUUUUAAUUGGGAUCUUGCACGGGCGGUGACACAGAAUACAUAAAGCACACAGUGGAAGCUGUUUGAUGGUCAGGCACAAGGCACCCUGGAAUUCGGAAAGCCCAAAGCCUCUUGUGGGUGUUGGUGUGUGUGUGCUGGCAGGGGCAGCCGCACAGUUCCCUGCCAGCUGCUCACCGUGCCUGUGGCCGCAGGGUGGGCAGUGCGCCGCCAGGGAGCGCGGCAAGGUGUCCUGCUCAGCGCAGCACAUCCAGGAACAUGCUGGUGCAGGCAGGGUGUGUCUUUGGACGAGAAGCCAUGACUUCAGCAGAACUUAGGUGCUGGGCAUUAUUUAUAUGCCUCACGUAGCACAACCACCAGUUAAAAUCCACCAGCAGUCUUUGGAGCUGUGGUGGGAAAUCAUGGUCUUUGCCUGUGGUUGCCUUAGCAAAUGAUGCAACAAGAGAGCAGCAGAAGGUGAAAAUUUACAUAGUGGAACACAGUGCUGGGGGCCCAGUACUCACAUAACAAGUUUUAGGGGUUUUCUUUUGAACUGUUCACCUCAUUCCUACACAGCCUCCCAAUACCUAAACUCUGCUUCCUUGUUCCACAGCAUCAGCCUGUAAGCUGGAGAGCCACGCUCACUCCCACAGCUGCUGCUGUGACCCAGGCUCAGCAUUUCAUCCCUGAGUAGGAAACUUCAAAUGGAGAAACAACCCUUGUGCAGAAUGCUCCCCAUGCAGGAGCUCCAGUGCUCUGUAGGGCAGCACAGUUGUACCCUCUGAGGCUGAGGGGGGAGCCAGGCAUGGACCUACAAGCUCUUAUUUCAGGUCCUCCAGGUGCAGUUUUCUCUCCCACACACCUCCCAGGGGUGUGAGCUGCAGACAGAGUCCACUGGAUCUUUCCUGCCUGAACAUUCGGUAGCAGUGUGCCAAAAGUGGAGGUAGAACACUGCAGAAGCAUUUGAAUACUAACUGGUGGUUUCAAAAGAGGUGAUAAUCUGAUUUGAAAGGAAUUGAAGGUAGACAGGGUUUAUGCUGUCACAAUUUCUGGAAUCAUAACAUUGUUAACCUCUAGUCCAAAACUUACAAAGACUGUAGAUUUCUACAAAAAUUUGAGCCCAGGAUGAAGACAACAAACAACUUAAAUGAAAGCUCAGAGGGAGUGAUAAGAAUUUUGAUCUAUAGGAUGCUGUUAUUAUUGGAUGGUGUUUGAAAGCAUGGAUUCACUCAACAUCUUUGCUAAGGGGAGCUGACAUUGCAGUUCUGUUGUUACUUAGUUCAGUGCAGCUUUCUGAAAGCUGCCAUAUAAAAUUUCUCAUAAUCUCUGUCCUCAGGAGGCACUGGGGCAGUGCUUUUCAUGAAAACAGUUUGCCAUUUUGGUGCUUUCCAUUAUGGGGGAAUGUGAAGAUGUCAGGGUAUAAAUACUAGCCAUUAGAUUCUGUUGUUAAAUCAGCAUUUGAGUGGUUGGAAAAUUAGUGUGGAUCCUUAACUUGGACUCCCAGUGUCAGAAAUGUCACACUCUAGAAUAAUGACAGUUGCCAGCAGGCAGCACAGCAAUAUAAUUUUGACUACAAAAUAUGACACUAACACGAUUUAAACACAGUGCUGAAUUUUACAGAGUAAGAAAACUGAUUUAUGUGUGCUAUCAAAAGCAAAUUUUAGUAUCUGGUCAGGACAAUAUAUUUCUGUGUUCAGAAAAGUUAGGAUUCUUUGGUUUAUAAGACCUUUUGAAUGAAGAUACUGAUUUUCCUUCCAAGUUGAAGCUGCUAGAAUUGACUGCCUGUUUAUGUCCUUACAGAUGCCUAUUAAACAGGCAAGGCAAACCAAAACCAGAGGCCCAUCACAAAUAAACCUACAGGUAGUAAUGGUUUCAUUUUUUUAGGGCAAAAUACUUCAAAGAUAGUUAAACACAAAGUUCAGGAGAGCAAAGUUUUCCAGGUCACAAGAUUCUUUAUGGUUCAUCACGUGGCACUUCCUCAUGGGUUGUCCCCUUAUUCUACAUUUCAAAAGAAACUUUCAGACAAGAAGAUGAAUGGAGAUGAAGCACAGUCAAUGCAGGAGCAGUAAGAUCCAGCUUUAGUGCUGGAUGUAUCAUGUUACCCAUGUAUUUACAUGCACAGUUUUGUGUGCUUUCAUUCCAUAGCUGUUUUU